UUAAAUUUUGUUUUUAGUCUCUCAAAAUAGUUUCUUUCAAGAAAUAUUUUUUACUCUUCUAAUUUUCAGUUUUGAUUUAGGUAUUUUUUCUGCAAAAUUAAUACGAGUUUAUGAAGUCUGGUUUUGUCGGUUUUGCGAGGUCUUUUGUUCAGUUUAUGGGUUGCUUUCUUUAGUUAAUUUUUGCGCAGGUUAUGAAGUCGAUUCAACUAUGAAAUGCUGCUUUGCUACACAAUUGGUUAAACGGUCGUAUCAUUUACCGUUUCUUAGUCAGCAUCACCAACAACACCCCGUAGUUGGACAACUUCAUGAUGACGUAGAUUUCGGUAAACAUUGCUUAACAUUGUUUUUCUCCAUAUUGAUUUGGAUAUGUAAUGAGAAAAUCUGCAGGUAAAUAUUUCAUUGUUAUUUAAUUUCAAUGUUUCUUAAGAGUAACAUAUUGUGAAUUUGUGACAAUUGGUUUAUUUGUGUAGAUACUAUAAGCACCUUUUUAAGAAGCUAUGGGAACUGGGAAGGAUAUAAUUAACAUUUAUCAUUGUCUGUUGCCAUCAUUUAGAGGUGGAAAUCCAUAUAAACAUUUCUUUGAAAUAGCUUCUACAUAAUCACUUAUGUUAUAAGCAGUUAAUUGGUAGACAAAGUAUUCUAUUCUCUAUUUAUAUAUAAUAAUAAUUUUAAAAAAGAAAAUUUAUACUUUUUUUGUUGAUGUUAUUUAAUGUUUAAUAGAUUAGAACUAACAUAAUGAUGAGUUGGCUAAAUGUAGAAUGAAAGUUAAACAGACACUUCCCAUGGUCACUAUUAUAAAAGUGAAGAUGUUUGCAGGUUGAAGGAGAUACUAGAGCUGUGAAUUUGUUUGCAGGUUGAAGGAGAUGCUAAAAUAUUUAUUAAAUUUGGCAUUUUGUAGUAGGUUGCUCAAUGACUUUCUUUUGAUUUACUUCUUUUCUUUUUUCAUGUUCUCUUCACUGUUUUUUAAAUGUAUCAGAUUUGUUUUCUUCGCUACUUGCUUUCUAUUGCUCUUUGGUCAAAUUUUUAGAAGUAUUAGAUAGAUUAGUGAAGAAGUAUUAGAUAGAUUGGUGAAAAAGUAUUAGAUUUGUUGUAAUCCGUAUGUUAAUAGACAAUUAUGUAUUAUUUAGCAGGUAGAUAAAUAGACAGUUGUGCAAAUGGUUUGAAGAUGAUGCUCCGGGUUGUUCAAUUACAGUUUCUUCGCAUAAGUUAAGUAUAUGCAAACCACUGUAUUUAUCAUUAUUUUUUGAAAAAUGUAUUUAAAUAUCUUUAUCAUUAUGUUUCAGCACUGAAGGAAAGCGAUAUUGGGUACCUUGAAAUUAUUUUGCUCGAGUCCGUCCAUUUGAUGUACUUCUGAUUUUAGGACAUUAGAAUGUUUAUAGUUUUAGAUUAGAAAAUUAAAAAGUAGGAUUGUUAAGUAAAUACAGAACACCGGUUGACAGAAAUUAGCAUAUUUAUGGUUUCAUGUUUAUUAAACUAAAUCUUGACAAACAGGGUGUGACCAAAUUCAAGUUUUCACACUGCCUAGGGAUUACAAAGUUUAGAUAGACAAGUUGACUGAACACGAGACAUAUACAUUGUAGAAUAGAGAACCCCUGAACAAUGAUUUACCUUACAAAGUUUGUCAAAACCAACUAAAACUUCUCUUUACAAAUGCCACAACUGGUAUGCUAAGAGUGAGGUUAAGGACACACCACCUCGCUAAUUCAUCUUCAAACCUAUAACUGAUUUUCUUUGGGGAAGUUUUAUUGUUGACUAUGUAAAUGCUAAUACUAUAUUUUAUUCUUUAUUAAACUUUCAUUUUUUUCAUUGCAUGCACACAACUCCCAUCAUGCCCUUUUCUGUUCUAUUUUCCAUUAGAUGUUAUUCGAUGCUUGCAUGAGGUGGUCAAGACACAAACGACUGUGAAUGAGAAGAAAGCUUGUGCUAACUUAUUACUUAAAGAUGGGAGUAGAAACAAUUCUGUUACAAACCAACCACAAAUGGUUGUGCUAACUUUUCACUUUUGUAUAACAGCAUGUAAGAUUCAUGGUACAAUGUUAUGACAAUGAUGAUGCUUGAAUUUUGAA
Molecule: long non-coding RNA, 2066 nt
Organism: Vicia villosa (hairy vetch)
Lineage: Eukaryota; Viridiplantae; Streptophyta; Magnoliopsida; Fabales; Fabaceae
Exons: 2
Source: RefSeq, a predicted model, not a curated record